This is a long non-coding RNA of Bombyx mandarina (wild silkworm), 367 nucleotides long. RefSeq lists it as uncharacterized. Lineage: Eukaryota; Metazoa; Arthropoda; Insecta; Lepidoptera; Bombycidae. The record is from RefSeq and is a predicted model, not a curated record.
AUUAUUGUUGACAUUACGAAGGACAUUGCUCUAUGCGUUCUUGGUAUAUAAGCAGGACGUCCUUUAUAUUUUCAACAUUUAACCGAAGUUAAAAGCCAAAGGAAUAUGAGAGUAUUGUUGGUCCUAGUUAUGGUUGCGGCCUUGGCGGCUGCUGCUUACGCCGUGCCAAUUCUAGACGACGUCACCAAGACCGUCUCCGGCGUCGUACCCGUUUAAGCUUUGAUCGACCGAAAACCACGUCGACAACAUACCAGCAACAAGUUUUUAUUCACAAUUCGGAUAUACUUAAAAUUGUAUAAAACAUAAAAACUAAAAAUUCGUUUUGGAAUCAAUAUGGUACAGAAUAAACGUUAAAACGCAAAUGUCA